AUGCUGGUACAGGGUUGGUGGCCCGACGACUGCAGGUUUGGCGCUCUUCCCCGUCAACAGCGGCAAAAUUCGUCAGAUCUGGAUCCAGAUUGGCGCGGGGAACAUCCUCGGUCGACACGCCACAUCACCGAGCGCCUGUUCUACAGAAUCAAAGAGUCAGCUUGCAAGGAAGAAACGAUGGACCUGGAGGUAACAAAUUCCUUCAAUUAUCAAAGAGAGCUACGUACGUACUACCGCGCGGCAGGUGUGGUGAGCAAUCUGCAAAUCAUUCAGAAAAAGAGCUACACAGUAUAUAUUCCUUGGCCGUUGAUUCACAGUAAUUAG
Molecule: ribosomal RNA, 324 nt
Filed under: Triticum aestivum (bread wheat)
Lineage: Eukaryota; Viridiplantae; Streptophyta; Magnoliopsida; Poales; Poaceae
Description: partial small subunit ribosomal RNA
Source: RNAcentral